AGCGAACGCUGGCGGCAGGCCUAACACAUGCAAGUCGAACGAACUCUUCGGAGUUAGUGGCGGACGGGUGAGUAACACGUGGGAACGUGCCUUUAGGUUCGGAAUAACUCAGGGAAACUUGAGCUAAUACCGGAUGUGCCCUUUGGGGGAAAGAUUUAUCGCCUUUAGAGCGGCCCGCGUCUGAUUAGCUAGUUGGUGAGGUAAAGGCGCACCAAGGCGACGCUGAGUAGCUGGUCGGAGAGGAUGAUCAGCCACAUUGGGACUGGGACACGGCCCAAACUCCUACGGGAGGAAGCAGUGGGGAAUCUUGCGCAAUGGGCGAAAGCCUGACGCAGCCAUGCCGCGUGAAUGAUGAAGGUCUUAGGAUUGUAAAAUUCUUUCUCCGGGGACGAUAAUGACGGUACCCGGAGAAGAAGCCCCGGCUAACUUCGUG
RNAcentral lists this ribosomal RNA (433 nucleotides) under uncultured bacterium. Its description in RNAcentral is "partial 16S ribosomal RNA". It matches the Rfam family "Bacterial small subunit ribosomal RNA", at positions 29 to 507 of the family's 1533-position model. The record is from RNAcentral.